UACGUAGGGUGCGAGCGUUAAUCGGAAUUACUGGGCGUAAAGCGUGCGCAGGCGGUAAUGCAAGACAGAUGUGAAAUCCCCGGGCUUAACCUGGGAACUGCAUUUGUGACUGCAUUGCUGGAGUGCGGCAGAGGGGGAUGGAAUUCCGCGUGUAGCAGUGAAAUGCGUAGAUAUGCGGAGGAACACCGAUGGCGAAGGCAAUCCCCUGGGCCUGCACUGACGCUCAUGCACGAAAGCGUGGGGAGCGAACAGG
This 253-nucleotide ribosomal RNA is filed under the name uncultured bacterium. Its description in RNAcentral is "partial 16S ribosomal RNA". It matches the Rfam family "Bacterial small subunit ribosomal RNA", at positions 524 to 776 of the family's 1533-position model. The record is from RNAcentral.